UGGAAGAUGCAGAAGUAAUUG
RNAcentral lists this small nuclear RNA (21 nucleotides) under Arabidopsis thaliana (thale cress). RNAcentral's name for it is "snRNA_09475". The record is from RNAcentral. Lineage: Eukaryota; Viridiplantae; Streptophyta; Magnoliopsida; Brassicales; Brassicaceae.